RNAcentral lists this long non-coding RNA (446 nucleotides) under Hordeum vulgare. RNAcentral describes it as "long non-coding RNA (HVUL_LNC014937)". Lineage: Eukaryota; Viridiplantae; Streptophyta; Magnoliopsida; Poales; Poaceae. The record is from RNAcentral.
GAACAACAUUCGGUAACCACACAUAUAACUCAACUCAUUACAGGAAUCAGGGAAUUUGCCGUCUGGCUGAUCUUUGCCGUCUGCUGGCUGAUGGCAAAGAGAUUCUUUGUCGUCAGCUACCAGCAAACAGAUGGCAAAGAACUAACUAAUGGCAAAGAUACUCUUUAUCGUCAGCCUAGGGCCUCUUUGCGUUCUGCCUCGACCCCUUUGUCGCCAGCUUAUCCCCUGGCGGAUGACAAAGGGGACGGCCUUCUAACAGCGCCCCAUCUCUCCACCCCCAUCUGCCCUCCCUCGAUCCCCAUUCUCCCUCUCCCAGAUCCACACCCCUCUUCCUCUCCUCCCCGCUCCCAUCCGACAGGCAGAAUGAGCCCCCGCCCCAAACCCUAGCCACCGGGGAGCUGGUCUGGGCCAAGACCAAGGGCCACCACCACUGGUGGCCAGCGCGC